UACGUAGGGACCAAGCGUUGUCCGGAUUUAUUGGGCGUAAAGAGCUCGUAGGCGGCCCUCCACGUCGGAUGUGAAAGCUCAGGGCUCAACCCUGGGAUGCCAUUCGAUACGGGAAGGCUAGAGGUAGGUAGGGGAAAGUGGAAUUCCUGGUGUAGCGGUGAAAUGCGCAGAUAUCAGGAGGAACACCGGUGGCGAAGGCGGGUCUCUGGGCCGAUACUGACGCUGAGGAGCGAAAGCGUGGGGAGCAAACAGG
RNAcentral lists this ribosomal RNA (253 nucleotides) under uncultured bacterium. RNAcentral's name for it is "partial 16S ribosomal RNA". It matches the Rfam family "Bacterial small subunit ribosomal RNA", at positions 524 to 776 of the family's 1533-position model. The record is from RNAcentral.